This 80-nucleotide microRNA precursor is filed under the name Sorex araneus (European shrew). Its description in RNAcentral is "miRNA (ENSSARG00000016920.1)". The record is from RNAcentral. Lineage: Eukaryota; Metazoa; Chordata; Mammalia; Eulipotyphla; Soricidae.
GUGCUGUGUUUCUGUGUGUACAUACCUAGGUGCACCCUACAUACACACACACACACACACACACAUACACACACACACAC